UACGUAGGGUGCGAGCGUUAAUCGGAAUUACUGGGCGUAAAGCGUGCGCAGGCGGUUUUGUAAGCCAGAUGUGAAAUCCCCGGGCUUAACCUGGGAAUGGCAUUUGGGACUGCAAGGCUGGAGUUUGGCAGAGGAGACUGGAAUUCCUGGUGUAGCAGUGAAAUGCGUAGAUAUCAGGAGGAACACCGAUGGCGAAGGCAGGUCUCUGGGCUGAAACUGACGCUCAUGCACGAAAGCCAGGGGAGCAAACGGG
RNAcentral lists this ribosomal RNA (253 nucleotides) under uncultured bacterium. Its description in RNAcentral is "partial 16S ribosomal RNA". It matches the Rfam family "Bacterial small subunit ribosomal RNA", at positions 524 to 776 of the family's 1533-position model. The record is from RNAcentral.